This 337-nucleotide ribosomal RNA is filed under the name uncultured bacterium. Its description in RNAcentral is "partial 16S ribosomal RNA". It matches the Rfam family "Bacterial small subunit ribosomal RNA", at positions 338 to 690 of the family's 1533-position model. The record is from RNAcentral.
CCUACGGGAGGCAGCAGUGGGGGAUAUUGCACAAUGGGGGAAACCCUGAUGCAGCGACGCCGCGUGGGCGAAGAAGUAUUUCGGUAUGUAAAGCCCUAUCAGCAGGGAAGAAGAAAUGACGGUACCUGAGUAAGAAGCACUGGCUAAAUACGUGCCAGCAGCCGCGGUAAUACGUAUGGGGCAAGCGUUAUCCGGAUGUACUGGGUGGAAAGGGAGCGGAGGCGGCACGGCAAGCAUGAUGUGAAAGCCCGCGGCCCAACCGCGGGACUGCAUUGGGAACUACCGGGCUGGUGGGACGGGGGGGUAGGCGAACUUCCUGGUGUGGCGGUAAACUACG